RNAcentral lists this ribosomal RNA (497 nucleotides) under uncultured bacterium. Its description in RNAcentral is "partial 16S ribosomal RNA". It matches the Rfam family "Bacterial small subunit ribosomal RNA", at positions 28 to 507 of the family's 1533-position model. The record is from RNAcentral.
GAUGAACGCUGGCGGCGUGCCUAAUACAUGCAAGUCGAGCGAACAGACGAGGAGCUUGCUCCUUUGACGUUAGCGGCGGACGGGUGAGUAACACGUGGAUAACCUACCUAUAAGACUGGGAUAACUUCGGGAAACCGGAGCUAAUACCGGAUAACAUUUUGAACCGCAUGGUUCAACAGUGAAAGACGGUCUUGCUGUCACUUAUAGAUGGAUCCGCGCCGCAUUAGCUAGUUGGUAAGGUAACGGCUUACCAAGGCAACGAUGCGUAGCCGACCUGAGAGGGUGAUCGGCCACACUGGAACUGAGACACGGUCCAGACUCCUACGGGAGGCAGCAGUAGGGAAUCUUCCGCAAUGGGCGAAAGCCUGACGGAGCAACGCCGCGUGAGUGAAGAAGGUCUUCGGAUCGUAAAACUCUGUUAUUAGGGAAGAACAAAUGUGUAAGUAACUAUGCACGUCUUGACGGCACCUAAUCAGAAAGCCACGGCUAACUACGUG